Molecule: ribosomal RNA, 253 nt
Filed under: uncultured bacterium
Lineage: Bacteria
Description: partial 16S ribosomal RNA
Rfam family: Bacterial small subunit ribosomal RNA
Source: RNAcentral
UACGAAGGGGGCUAGCGUUGCUCGGAAUUACUGGGCGUAAAGCGCACGUAGGCGGCUUUCUAAGUCGGAGGUGAAAUCCUGGAGCUCAACUCCAGAACUGCCUUCGAUACUGGAGAGCUUGAGUUCGGGAGAGGUGAGUGGAACUGCGAGUGUAGAGGUGAAAUUCGUAGAUAUUCGCAAGAACACCAGUGGCGAAGGCGGCUCACUGGCCCGAUACUGACGCUGAGGCACGAAAGCGUGGGGAGCAAACAGG